GCAUUUAAAUUAGAAAGAUCAUAUCAUAGGGCACAUGUAUACUAAGUUUCAAGUUGAUUGGACUUCAACUUCAUCAAAAACUACCUUGACCAAAAACUUUAACCUGAAAUUUGCACUAUCAUUUUCUAUGUUCAGUGAACCGUAAAAUUGGGGUCAAAACUAUAAUUUGGCAUUUAAAUUAGAAAGAUCAUAUCAUAGGGCACAUGUAUACUAAGUUUCAAGUUGAUUGGACUUCAACUUCAUCAAAAACUACCUUGACCAAAAACUUUAACCUGAAGCGGGACAGACGGACGAACGAACGAACGAACGAACAGACGGACAGACGGACAGACGGACGGACGCACAGACCAGAAAACAUAAUGCCCCU
This 367-nucleotide long non-coding RNA is filed under the name Mytilus galloprovincialis (Mediterranean mussel). The record is from RNAcentral. Lineage: Eukaryota; Metazoa; Mollusca; Bivalvia; Mytilida; Mytilidae.